GCAUAGUUGGUUCAGUGGUAGAAGGCUCGCCUUCCAAGCAGGAGGCCUGGGUUCAAUUCCUGGCCAGUGUC
Molecule: transfer RNA, 71 nt
Filed under: Loxodonta africana (African savanna elephant)
Lineage: Eukaryota; Metazoa; Chordata; Mammalia; Proboscidea; Elephantidae
Rfam family: tRNA
About the family: Transfer RNA (tRNA) molecules are approximately 80 nucleotides in length. Their secondary structure includes four short double-helical elements and three loops (D, anti-codon, and T loops).
Source: Rfam by way of RNAcentral